UGGGGAAUAUUGCACAAUGGGCGCAAGCCUGAUGCAGCCAUGCCGCGUGUGUGAAGAAGGCCUUCGGGUUGUAAAGCACUUUCAGCGAGGAGGAAGGGUUCAGUGUUAAUAGCACUGUUCAUUGACGUUACUCGCAGAAGAAGCACCGGCUAACUCCGUGCCAGCAGCCGCGGUAAUACGGAGGGUGCAAGCGUUAAUCGGAAUUACUGGGCGUAAAGCGCACGCAGGCGGUUUGUUAAGUCAGAUGUGAAAUCCCCGCGCUUAACGUGGAACUGCAUUUG
This 281-nucleotide ribosomal RNA is filed under the name uncultured bacterium. RNAcentral describes it as "partial 16S ribosomal RNA". It matches the Rfam family "Bacterial small subunit ribosomal RNA", at positions 355 to 629 of the family's 1533-position model. The record is from RNAcentral.